This is a long non-coding RNA of Gambusia affinis (western mosquitofish), 999 nucleotides long. RefSeq lists it as uncharacterized. NCBI's taxonomy places the organism in Eukaryota, Metazoa, Chordata, Actinopteri, Cyprinodontiformes, Poeciliidae. The record is from RefSeq and is a predicted model, not a curated record. The transcript is spliced from 2 exons.
UAUGUCACCAGACAAAGGCGCUUGCAGUGACAGCCUCGCUCCACCGGGUGUCACCACUGCGCGCUAUGAUGUCAUAUCUUUUCCCAGUCCGCUGCUUUUCCUCCACGUCAUGCAUUCCUGUAGUGACUCCCUGAUCCUGCAGCGGUCAUAAACACGCCUGGAGCCGCCUCUGCCACACAGAUCAACCUGACACGCUCUCCCACGUCGAAGACGUUUUCCGAAAGAAGCGGCCGAGCAGCAGCUGAGCUGGUCGUCGGGAUGCAAGAGACACGGUCCGUGUCCAGAUGUUGGAGACACGCGGCUCUCUUUCUCUCUCUCUUUUUCUGACUCUCUGCUGCUGCUGCUGCUGCUGUCCGUGGUACCGCCAAUCAAACACCGAUUCAGACGCCAGCCUGUUACCUAGCAACCCCUUUUCACUUCAAUGGUGACGCUAUUAAAAGCAACAUCACACAGAGAUAUUCAACAAAAGAAAAAGUGGAAAAUGGAUAAAAAUGAAGUGAGAGUGAAAACAUAUUUUAGCAGCAAGAAAAGCAGGCAGAAUCAGGAGGCGACAGUGUCUGGAGAGGAUGGUGACACACAGAAAAAGCGAGUUGGACCCGAACAAAGAAACAAGUGAGCGUUUCUGUUCAGCUUGGAAGGGAGCAGCUUGCCAGAUCGCCUGCCAGUUGGUGCGUCCCUCAGAUCUGCAGAAGGCCUCGCUUCAUCUUCCACUGAAUCUUUAGUCGCCCAUUAAACCGCUAAUGCAGUUUUAUUAGGAAAUACUCUGCGCCGUAAUGAACAAAUCUGACAUCGGAAAAUGAGAGCGCUUACUGAACUUAAGUGAUUUCAAGUGACUAAUAAUCACGCGCUCAGGUUAACCGAGGCAAAACCCCGGAGGUCACCAAUCAUCAGAUGCUCGUCGACAUGAAGGCCAGACAUGAAUCAUGGUCUAAUGUGAUGGACAGUCACCAAGCUUACUCAUUAAAUGAUUUAAAAAGUUACAACUUUGUAAAAGCCACA